Brienomyrus brachyistius is the source of this 481-nucleotide long non-coding RNA. RefSeq lists it as uncharacterized. The transcript is spliced from 3 exons. The record is from RefSeq and is a predicted model, not a curated record. NCBI's taxonomy places the organism in Eukaryota, Metazoa, Chordata, Actinopteri, Osteoglossiformes, Mormyridae.
UCUGAGGAGCCUGGUGCUGAUGUCACCUACAGCUCCAUUGUCCUGCGAGACCCAGAGCAGGUGUCCUCAGGAUGUUCUUCACACCGUCCUGCUGUGACCCCAGCCAGCGAAGUGAUCUACAGCUCAGUCACCCUGAAGCACAGAGAGUAGGGGGCAGCAACACAGAGAGGCUCCUCUACAUGUGGGGAGCUGCUGCUCAGGAUGAGAGCUGUGAGGGACACGCAGACACUCCAGUGAUGGGGAGGGAUCAUCACCAGAGAGGAGAAUCUUACAGUGAUGUGAGCUGUAUUUAAAUGGCAUGCAGCACUGUCAUGUUACAGUGUGACAGUAAGAAUCAGCCAGUGAGAAACAGACAUUCAUGGCUGCUGUGCAUUUGAACCAUAAUCAUGGAACUAUUUACUUACUUGUAUGUCACUUUGGACAGAACCAACUGGUAAAAAUAAUACAUGUAAAUGCAAGGUAUUAUUGUGGUGGUCUGUUA